GCAAACAAAUAAAAAACUUGUACUGCCAUGUAGCGAUUUCGAUAAACGACGCCUUCAAGGGAGGAGGAGUCUACAACAUAUUGAAUUUAUCGAUCGAUUGUUAGGCCGAUUUCGAACAGCAUUGUAUAGUUAAUGAAUGACAACUUGACGAGAUCUCGACACGCACGUUGGAAGUGUACGCGUGUUUGCACCUCGAUGAGCGUUGCACAAUAACAAAGCUCCGUUGCUAGGUGAAGUCCUUGAGUGCCUCAAGAAGGAAUCGCCGAGCAUCGUCAUACAGCAGUAUUUUUUCCUUCGACAAUUAAUCUUGCAUCUCCAACCGUGGAAUGAGUUACAUGUGACUCGAGACAAACAAACAGUGCAAUUGCAACCAUAUAAUUAGUCAGCGAUAUAAAUUUGCCAUAUCUCCAUGCCAACCACAAGGAUUCUGCUUUUGCACACACCUUCAUUAUUAAUGUGUUUCUUCAGGUAUGGUCACUAUCAGCAGCUUUACACACAGUGUGCAUCGUGAAUACACCAAUCCAAGAGAAAACAUUCCAAUGGAAAAUAUUGAGAAUUUCUGCCCUUCUAUCCUGAACUACACAAUGCUGGUUUGUAUAAAUAGGCAUAAAAAAACCUAUCAACAGUAUUUUUAGUUUGCAGUUUGCUUUAACAUACAACUCUAUGGCAUGUUGAUAUUAGCUAAAUUUUUAUUAUUUAUAGUAUUAGACGGUACAAAAAAUUCUUCUCUCGGAAGUUUAUGACUUUGGACUUGCUUGAGAUGACCCUUGAGCCAAGAAGCUUUUCCUGCUUUGUGUGGACAGGAAUAUUAGAGGCAUUGAUGUCUGAAACCAACAAGUGUCUUGCAAAGAAAGUAAAAAGAAACAUUGAUGUUGGUCAUCCUCUGAGUGAUGCUGAAGCCUGGUAUCUUAUUGAUCAAUAAUUGGUUCUAUUCAUGGGGAAAAGAAUGUUGUGUGGGAGAAACAGGGGUCAUUCCGCUGAAAUUGAAUUAAUUCUGGCGCUCGACAUCACCGAUUUUUUUAAUUUUUUUACAGUGUAUUCAUUGUGUUGGUAUAAAAUUUUCUGUAAAGGGAAAAAUUUUUCCCGUUUAC
Daphnia magna is the source of this 1091-nucleotide long non-coding RNA. RefSeq lists it as uncharacterized. The transcript has 5 exons. The record is from RefSeq and is a predicted model, not a curated record. NCBI's taxonomy places the organism in Eukaryota, Metazoa, Arthropoda, Branchiopoda, Diplostraca, Daphniidae.